CUAAGGAAGUUUCUUGCAGGUCAGCCCGCUGACCUCGUGAAACGACUUAGCAGAUCGUCAGUCAGACGAUCACAUCACGGUCCAGGCCGUCCUCAUAUCUCUUCAGUCCAUGGAAAUCACAGGCCUACCGGUCUGGACUGGGUCGGUAGCUCAGGUGGUUAGAGCGCACGCCUGAUAAGCGUGAGGUCGGAGGUUCAAGUCCUCCUCGACCCACCAUCAUCCCUCGGGAUCGACGGGGCGUUAGCUCAGCUGGGAGAGCACCUGCUUUGCAAGCAGGGGGUCGUCGGUUCGAUCCCGACACGCUCCACCAUCUUCCGAUUUGAUCAUCAAGCGCAUGCCGUGCGCUCGAUCGUCCAAUCGGACGAAAUUGACAUCGUAUAGAGAGAUACAACAAUCAACUCUGUUUGAUUGCCGCGAGUAUGUGGCGAUCUCGGUUGGUUCCAUCGCAAGAUGGAAGGCAUCACGCGGGCUGCUUCCUCAACCCGCGCCGGUGUAUCCCGGCCGAAAAGAACAGAAUUGUCCAAGUCAAGUACACUAACCAAAUGCCGCCUCACGAACCAGGAGGCGGUGGGUAAGUACUAACUUUUGAUCGGGAAAAGCCUGUCUUUUCCUGGAUCAAAUCAAGCGCAAGAAGGGCGUUUG
Molecule: transfer RNA, 642 nt
Filed under: uncultured bacterium
Lineage: Bacteria
Description: 16S-23S ribosomal RNA intergenic spacer
Rfam family: tRNA (bases 140-213)
Source: RNAcentral